RNAcentral lists this ribosomal RNA (253 nucleotides) under uncultured bacterium. Its description in RNAcentral is "partial 16S ribosomal RNA". It matches the Rfam family "Bacterial small subunit ribosomal RNA", at positions 524 to 776 of the family's 1533-position model. The record is from RNAcentral.
UACGGAGGGUGCAAGCGUUAUCCGGAUUCACUGGGUUUAAAGGGUGCGUAGGCGGGUUUUUAAGUCAGUGGUGAAAGCCCCAAGCUUAACUUGGGAAUUGCCAUUGAUACUGAUGGUCUUGAGUACACUUGAGGUGGGCGGAAUGUGUCAUGUAGCGGUGAAAUGCUUAGAUAUGACACAGAACACCGAUUGCGAAGGCAGCUCACUAAAUUGUAACUGACGCUGAGGCACGAAAGCGUGGGGAUCGAACAGG